GGGGCCUGUAGCUCAGCUGGUUAGAGCACACGCUUGAUAAGCGUGGGGUCACUAGUUCGAAUCUAGUCAGGCCCACCA
Molecule: transfer RNA, 78 nt
Filed under: uncultured Acidobacteriota bacterium
Lineage: Bacteria; Pseudomonadati; Acidobacteriota
Description: uncultured Acidobacteria bacterium tRNA-Ile
Rfam family: tRNA
About the family: Transfer RNA (tRNA) molecules are approximately 80 nucleotides in length. Their secondary structure includes four short double-helical elements and three loops (D, anti-codon, and T loops).
Source: RNAcentral